RNAcentral lists this ribosomal RNA (498 nucleotides) under uncultured Sphingobacteriales bacterium. RNAcentral's name for it is "bacterial SSU rRNA". It matches the Rfam family "Bacterial small subunit ribosomal RNA", at positions 903 to 1382 of the family's 1533-position model. The record is from RNAcentral. Lineage: Bacteria; Pseudomonadati; Bacteroidota; Sphingobacteriia; Sphingobacteriales.
GCCAGCCCGCUCAGAAACUUAAAGGAAUUGACGGGGCCCGCACAAGCGGAGGAGCAUGUGGUUUAAUUCGAUGAUACGCGAGGAACCUUACCUGGGCUCGAACGUAAGAUGACUGUAGGUGAAAGCUUACGUCUCUUCGGAGCAUUUUACGAGGUGCUGCAUGGUUGUCGUCAGCUCGUGCCGUGAGGUGUCGGGUUAAGUCCCAUAACGAGCGCAACCCCUACCUUUAGUUGCCAUCAGGUUAAGCUGGGGACUCUAAAGGAACUGCCUACGCAAGUAGUGAGGAAGGCGGGGAUGACGUCAAAUCAGCACGGCCCUUACGUCCAGGGCUACACACGUGCUACAAUGGCCGAUACAGAGGGCAGCUACCUGGUGACAGGAUGCAAAUCUCCAAAGUCGGUCUCAGUUCGGAUCGGAGUCUGCAACCCGACUCCGUGAAGUUGGAUUCGCUAGUAAUCGCGCAUCAGCCAUGGCGCGGUGAAUACGUUCCCGGGCCUU